AAUAUUGCACAAUGGUGGGAACUCUGAUGCAGCAAGGCCGCGUGAGUGAAGAAGGAAUUCGGAUCGUAAAACUCGUUCAUUGGGGAAGAAUAAAUGACGAUACACCAUGAGGAAACUCCGGCAAACUACGUGCCAGCGGCCGCGGUAAUACGUAAGGGGCGAGCGUUGUCCGGAAUUACUGGGCGUAUAGGGUACGUAGGCGGCUAUAUAAGUCAGGUGUGAAAUACCAGUGCUUAACACUGGAAUUGCAUUUGAAACUGUGUAGCUUGAGUGCAGGAGAGGAAAGUGGAAUUCCUAGUGUAGCGGUGAAAUGCGUAGAGAUUAGGAGGAACACCAGUGGCGAAGGCGACUUUCUGGACUGUAACUGACGCUGAGGUACGAAAGCGUGGGUAGCGAACA
This 399-nucleotide ribosomal RNA is filed under the name uncultured bacterium. RNAcentral describes it as "partial 16S ribosomal RNA". It matches the Rfam family "Bacterial small subunit ribosomal RNA", at positions 360 to 774 of the family's 1533-position model. The record is from RNAcentral.